UAGGGAAUCUUCGGCAAUGGACGAAAGUCUGACCGAGCAACGCCGCGUGAGUGAAGAAGGUUUUCGGAUCGUAAAACUCUGUUGUUAGAGAAGAACAAGGACGUUAGUAACUGAACGUCCCCUGACGGUAUCUAACCAGAAAGCCACGGCUAACUACGUGCCAGCAGCCGCGGUAAUACGUAGGUGGCAAGCGUUGUGCGGAUCUAUUGGGCGUAAAGCGAGCGCAGGCGGUUUCAUAAGUCUGAUGUGAAAGCCCCCGGCUCAACCGGGGAGGGUCAGUGGAAACUGGGAGACUUGAGUGCAGAAGAGGAGAGUGGAAUUCCAUGUGGAGCGGUGAAAUGCGUAGAUAUAUGGAGGAACACCAGUGGCGAAGGCGGCUAUCUGGUCUGUAACUGACGCUGAGGCUCGAACGCGUGGGGAGCAAACAGG
This 429-nucleotide ribosomal RNA is filed under the name Gemmatimonadota bacterium. RNAcentral's name for it is "Gemmatimonadetes bacterium partial 16S ribosomal RNA". It matches the Rfam family "Bacterial small subunit ribosomal RNA", at positions 355 to 776 of the family's 1533-position model. The record is from RNAcentral. Lineage: Bacteria; Pseudomonadati; Gemmatimonadota.